This 379-nucleotide ribosomal RNA is filed under the name uncultured bacterium. RNAcentral's name for it is "bacterial SSU rRNA". It matches the Rfam family "Bacterial small subunit ribosomal RNA", at positions 27 to 407 of the family's 1533-position model. The record is from RNAcentral.
GGACGAACGCUGGCGGCGUGCUUAACACAUGCAAGUCGAGCGGUAAGGCCCUUUCGGGGGUACACGAGCGGCGAACGGGUGAGUAACACGUGGGUGACCUGCCCUCAGCUCUGGGAUAAGCCUGGGAAACCGGGUCUAAUACUGGAUAUGACUCCAUGACGCAUGUUGUGGGGUGGAAAGCCCCGUGCGGCUGAGGAUGGGCCCGCGGCCUAUCAGCUUGUUGGUGGGGUGAUGGCCUACCAAGGCGACGACGGGUAGCCGGCCUGAGAGGGCGACCGGCCACACUGGGACUGAGACACGGCCCAGACUCCUACGGGAGGCAGCAGUGGGGAAUCUUGCGCAAUGGGCGAAAGCCUGACGCAGCGACGCCGCGUGAGGG